GGAAACUUUAGCAGUUCCAUUAUCAUUUGUAUAAUAUAAAAUGAGUGCAGAUACAUACAGAAAACUUAACAUACAUUUAUUACUAUGUUGUAGUCACCAGCUCAUAACAGGUACUAUGAACAUAUAAUUUUACAAUAUAUAUCACAGAAUAAUAUUGAUGGUGCCAAUUGAAAACAGAGUUGCAUGUUUUAGUUGACUCACUUGCUGAUCCACUCUUCGUAAGUAUCUCUCACAUUUUGGCUUGCUCCUGAAUUUGUUCCUCUGUGACAAAGAAGGCAUGGAAUCCAAAUGGAACUCUUUUGGGUAAUUCAACAACUGCCACAGGUUCAGCUGACAUUGUUUUCGCAUCAAUUACAUUCACUGAUGACUUUCCAGUGUUCUCAUCAUGUACAAACAAUAUUAAGUAGCCGUCAUCCUCUUCACAUUCAGUCCCAGGCUGACGGGGAACAAAUAUUGCCUCUGAUCCAAAUCUUCCAGGUCCAAGGUCAAAAAUUCCAGGAACAUUUCCACCUACUUCAAGCUUUGUUUUUCCAGUUUCUGGUUCGGCAUGCAAAUCAAAUUUGACAACUCCUGUGAUCUGGGCAACAUUGUUUAAAAUGGUUCCAUAUACAUAGCGUUGCUUCCUUCCAGUGUAGUUCUCGUUGAUCCGUGGAAAAUCAACAGCAGCCUCUGACAGUUUCUUCUGUGAUGCUACACCAUUCUUCAUAUUGAACCUCAUCUCAUACAACUCAUUUGUGAAACCGUCACGCUGUUCUUCUUUUUCAGUUCCUUUAAUCGCGUCAAGAUCUGGAUUCUGCAGGCGGGAAGUGAUCAAGACCACGUCAUCUCCCUCCUCCCAAGCAUUGGCGUUGUGGAAUAUGAAGCAGUUAGGAAGCUCGAACCACUUGAUUAGGGAUUCGUUCUUUGCGUAGCGUGGAAGAACUCCAAAACGAGCCUUCUUUGUGGGGUCAAAGCUGUAUGCCAGCUGUUUAUUUUUCACCAUUUCCUUUGGUCUGAAGUACAAUGGAAGAUCCAUCAUAAUUGCAUAAUUUUCAGUAAUAGCAAAAUCGUGCAUCAUAACAGAUGCUGGUAUCGUUAUUGGAACUGGAUCUUGCAUGACACCAUCCUUGGAUAUGACUCUAUAUGUAGCGAAAGGUGGUGUCUGCGAGUAGCCAAAGGUAAACAUUUCCCCAGUUACAGGGUCAACCUUCGGGUGAGCAGUGAAGGAAUGUUGCAACCUUUUAUCGUAAUCCAGCAUGCCAAGCGUUUGCAGAUCUCCAUCCUCCAGAAUCUUAACUACAUAUGGUUUAUCACCCUCAUGAAGAGCCAAAAGCUUCCCAUGGUGAUAUAUCAUAGCUGUAUUAGCUGUGCCAUUUCCAUAGGAAGUGUCCAAAACUUUCAGCUUUUCCCUGAGCAUGUAUAUAUAUACUGAGAACAACCCGAACAGCCCUUUAAGAUCUCCAAUCUUCAUAAACUUAGCUCCUCCAAAGAACUCUUCUUGCUUAAGACGUGAUGUCCUCACAAAACGUGAGACAUAUGUUGCUUUUCCAUCCUUAAUUUGCAAGCCAUGAAUCAUGCCAUCUCCAUCA
RNAcentral lists this unclassified non-coding RNA (1568 nucleotides) under Hevea brasiliensis (rubber tree). Lineage: Eukaryota; Viridiplantae; Streptophyta; Magnoliopsida; Malpighiales; Euphorbiaceae. The record is from RNAcentral.